RNAcentral lists this transfer RNA (72 nucleotides) under Elusimicrobia bacterium GWA2_51_34. RNAcentral's name for it is "tRNA-Thr". It matches the Rfam family "tRNA". From Rfam's summary of the family: Transfer RNA (tRNA) molecules are approximately 80 nucleotides in length. RNAcentral also lists the same sequence under 3 other names. The record is from RNAcentral. Lineage: Bacteria; Pseudomonadati; Elusimicrobiota.
GCCGACGUAGCUCAGCGGUAGAGCAACCGCCUUGUAAGCGGUAGGUCGCCGGUUCAAUCCCGGCCGUCGGCU